Molecule: long non-coding RNA, 841 nt
Organism: Lolium perenne
Lineage: Eukaryota; Viridiplantae; Streptophyta; Magnoliopsida; Poales; Poaceae
Source: RefSeq, a predicted model, not a curated record
CGUCAGCUUCGUCGACCAUUCGUUCGUUCCGCACGGGCUCAACUGGGCCGAAGCCCAGCUACAUCGUCGUGAUGGAAGCAUGAACCCAGCGACCAAACCCUCGCCCUGAUGGCGUGCUCCACCGACGCCGCCGCCUGACUGCCCACACGACGCGCCUGACGCCACCUCCUGCCACCCCCACCCCCAUCCUCCUCGCCAAAUCUUCCCAGAUGAUGGAUUCUAUCAGCUUAGGAUCACUUUUUUCAGUCGGUGCCCCAAUAUCGUGAGCGGCGGUGCUUGAUUCGGCGACGGUGGGGCUUGAUCCAUCGACAGCGAAGGAGAAGGAGGCCUGAGACGAAGGAGAAGGAGGCCGGCGGCGGAGGACAAGGAGGGUGACGUCUAGGAGCAGCUGCAGCAGCACCGGUGGCCGUGCAGGCGACCGUCUUUGCCUGCCCGGCCGUCUCCGGAACGCCGUUUUCCUGCUGCAGAACCGCGUCCCUGGGCACGCCAAGCCGUGAUCCCUCCGUCCUGUCGUCAUCGCCGCAACCAUCUGUGGUAUUUUGCGGUGGAUUUUUUUCUUCUACUCGUACUCCCGGUUAUGGAGAGCUGCUACUGCCUCUCGAGCUCCACUGCACUGCUUUCUCUAUGGCGGAGAUCAGAUCAUGAUCGUUCCACUUGGACUUGGCUCUCCGACCAUGUUCUCUAAAUCUUCACAGUUUCUUUUUGGAACCUUUCAACCUUUCAAGCUUCUAUGCUCCAACGUUAGAAAUUAAUCAGGAUUGCAAUAGAGCCCUCGUCCAUGGGCUUGAACGCCGCCUUUGCAUCUGUAGGCGGAAACACCCAGUCAUCGAAGACGCCUACC